UCAGAUUAUUUUACCACAAUCUACCAUUCAAGCCUGUCAAUGGGAGGAAAAGUGUCAGUGAAGUGACCCACCAGGAGCACCAAGGCAGGAGAUCCCUGGUGUAGGACCAUGUGUACCACUAUGAUGGUCCUAACCAGCAUUGCACUCAUCCUGCGGCAGAUGUUCUCCAACAAAGUCCAACCUCAGAAAGAGACGACUGAGAAAGCCAUGCCAAACAUGAACAGCGGAGGAGUGGCAGAAAUCCCAAAACAGCAACAGUGAGCAUAACUUGUUGCCGAAGAGAUUUACCUCCGUGGACAUGAAAGGAGAGAUUUCCCGACAUAGUUUUGUUGUGUUUUCUCAUUGAUCUGAUAUUGAUUCAUGUGCACUUAAGCAGCUUAAGUCAAGACUCUCACACCAGAGGUGAAAAAAAGUGGGCCAGAAAAACAGUGAGGCCCCACAGAUGCUCUCACUGCUGGAACAAGCAAACUAAACAAACAUACUUGGUUGGCAAAUUCCAGCUUGGGUGAUCAUCAUGAUGACACAGCACUAGCUGUUUUGAGUUUACUACUUAAGCUAUAUUGUCAUUGCUUAAGAACCAUAUUGUGAACUGCAUGUUCUGUGCCUCCUCUUUUUUUCAAAAAAAAAAAACAGCCACAGUUUCUGUUUUUUUGUUUUGUUGAUAUGUUUUUCUUAAAUUGACAAAUGUUUUAGGGUAAGUUUGAGGACAGCUUUGAAUUGAUGUAGGGUACCUUGUCAUAUGUUGUCAUGUCUUAUUGUCCUCAGAGGGGAAGGUUAUUGACCAAAUGAAGCAGUGAAAUGCAUAACCAUGUCUUCAAAUGUAAUACAGAACUUCCUUCAUUCAUUCACAGUAUGAGUAUUCUGAUUAUUCAUUGAUACGAACAUUAAUAAAUGUACUAAUGAAUGAACAAGUCAGAUGAACAUUAUUGUAUUACAAUUACAGCAGAAAAACAUGUAUUUUUCACCACAAAUGUGUUGUUACCUGCCCCCAACAUAUCAGCUCACCUGGAAGUAAAUAAAAUACUUCUAUGUAGAGACUUUUACUGGAAUUAUCGGCCUUUGUUAUGUGAUACGACGUUUACG
Molecule: long non-coding RNA, 1083 nt
Organism: Solea solea (common sole)
Lineage: Eukaryota; Metazoa; Chordata; Actinopteri; Pleuronectiformes; Soleidae
Exons: 3
Source: RefSeq, a predicted model, not a curated record